CGGUUAAAAAGCUCGUAGUUGGAUCUCGGCGGGCAGGGGGUGGUUCGCUCUUCAGCGCUACUGCCCCGCUUUGCCCGUGUGAUUGGCGGAGGUUUCGGGGUGCUCUUCGUUGAGUGACUCGGAGCGCCGUCAGGUUUACUUUGAAAAAAUUAGAGUGCUCAAAGCAGGCUUUUCACGCUUGAAUAUUCGUGCAUGGAAUAAUGGAAUAGGAACUCGUUUCUAUUUUGUUGGUUUUCGGAAAUCGAGUUAAUGAUUAACAGGGACAAUUGGGGGCAUUAGUAUUCAGACGACAGAGGUGAAAUUCCUGGACCGUCUGAAGACUGACUACUGCGAAAGCAUUUGCCAAGAGUGUUUUCAUUAAUCAAGAACGAAAGUUAGAGGUUCGAAGGCGAUCAGAUACCGCCCUAGUUCUAACCAUAAACGAUGCCAGCUAGCGAUCUGCCGAGUUUUUUUUGUAGGCUCCGCAGGAAGCUUUCGGGAAACCAAAGCUUUUGGGUUCCGGGGGAAGUAUGGUUGCAAAGCUGAAACUUAAAGGAAUUGACGGAAGGGCACCACCAGGAGUGGAGCCUGCGGCUUAAUUUGACUCAACACGGGAAAUCUCACCAGGCCCGGACACUGGAAGGAUUGACAGAUUGAGAGCUCUUUCUCGAUUCGGUGGGUGGUGGUGCAUGGCCG
This 675-nucleotide ribosomal RNA is filed under the name uncultured marine eukaryote. Its description in RNAcentral is "SSU rRNA". It matches the Rfam family "Eukaryotic small subunit ribosomal RNA", at positions 616 to 1290 of the family's 1831-position model. The record is from RNAcentral.